This is a long non-coding RNA of Schistocerca nitens (vagrant locust), 703 nucleotides long. RefSeq lists it as uncharacterized. The record is from RefSeq and is a predicted model, not a curated record. NCBI's taxonomy places the organism in Eukaryota, Metazoa, Arthropoda, Insecta, Orthoptera, Acrididae. The transcript is spliced from 3 exons.
UUCAGGUACCUCGUUACAUUUGAGCCCAGAAUAUGUUCUAAGUUUCUACAACAAUUGGAUGUUAAGGAUAUUGGACAGUAAUUUUGUAAAUCAUUUGUGCUGCCCAGCUUGUAGACAGAUGCAGAAACCAGAAUCUGACGCCACCGGCACCAGUUGCUGUUCACCGGUGCUGACCUGCUUCCACUUCUGCUCACCGACGUCUACGCGGAAACCGACAACUGACGCCACCAGCACCAGUUGCUGUUCACCAGUGCUGAUCACAUAUCCGCUCAUCGACGCAGCCCAGAUUCUACACCGGGUUUGAAGUUUGUCGUGAGAAGACUUUAGACACGGCGGUCAAACAGCACCACAAGUACUUGUCAGUCGAUGCAUGGAAGUCGUAGUGAAAGAGCAAGGAAGAACUAUGGAACUUCUAGUUUAUUCUGUGUUAAUCAUAUCAGUGACCAUUGUUAUAAAUAACAUGAACAUUUGAGAUUUGGAAUUGUGAAAAAAACUCUUAAUUUGGACUUUUUGGAGGCAAGACAUAUUUUACGAUAUGUUUGUAGUAGAAAUGUGGUUGUUAAGCCAACUCUUUUCUAAAUGGACUUAAAUCUGUUUCUAAUGUGAGACGAUAUGAGUUACUUAUGAGAAGUAAAAUGUUUAUGUGUGAAGUGUGAAUUUUGUUCUUCUGAAGCUCAAAUAUACCAAUAGUCAUAGAAAAGUA